GACGAACGCUGGCGGCGUGCUUAAUACAUGCAAGUCGAACGGAAAGGCCCUGCGCUUGCGGGGUGCUCGAGAGGCGAGGGGGUGAGUAACACGCGAGUAACAUGCCCUUAACUUUGGGAUAAAUUUACGAAACUCCGGCUAAUACACUAUAGGAGAUACUGCAGCGCGGUGGGGGUUAGAAAGUUUCGGCGGUGGGGGCAGGAUUGGAGGCUUAUCAGCUUGUUAGUGGAGUAGUGGCUUACCAAGGCUUUGACGGGUAGCAGGCGUGAGAGGUUGACCAGCGACAUUAGGCCUGAGAUACGGCGCAGUAUCCAACGGGCGGCAGCAGGGGGGAACAUUGCACAAUGGGCGGGAGCCAGAUGCAGCGACGCACCGUGCGGGAUGACGGCCUUCGGGUUAAGAACCACUUUCGCAGGUAAUAAAGCGUGAGUGACGGUAAUGGGUAAGGAAGCACCGGCUAACUACGUG
RNAcentral lists this ribosomal RNA (468 nucleotides) under uncultured bacterium. Its description in RNAcentral is "partial 16S ribosomal RNA". It matches the Rfam family "Bacterial small subunit ribosomal RNA", at positions 28 to 507 of the family's 1533-position model. The record is from RNAcentral.